Molecule: long non-coding RNA, 302 nt
Organism: Etheostoma spectabile (orangethroat darter)
Lineage: Eukaryota; Metazoa; Chordata; Actinopteri; Perciformes; Percidae
Exons: 2
Source: RefSeq, a predicted model, not a curated record
AGACAGCCACUAAUUGGUCAACACUCACCUGAGAGCAUUUCAGGAGUCAAGAUGGCUGGAGCCAGUAAAUGAAUUUAUCGUUCCUGAGUUAUUGUGCAAAGUCUCAGAAAAGACAGUUCCAGACUGGAUUACAAAGCUUCUGGAAGACCCAGGGGAAAACCUCUCUGGAAAGGGUCAGAUUCUAGUUACCAUUCUAGUUAUCGUGACAGUGUAAUUCCAUGAUCUAUUAAGAAGCUUCUGGAGGAUCUACAAUUGCAUGGAAGACCUCGUUGAAACAGCACAUUGCUCUGCUUCUAAACAAA